GAGGGUAUAGCUCAGGGUAUAGUGUGUGCUUAGCAGGCAGGAGGUCCUGGGUUCAAUCCCCAGUACCUCCA
Molecule: transfer RNA, 71 nt
Filed under: Camelus bactrianus (Bactrian camel)
Lineage: Eukaryota; Metazoa; Chordata; Mammalia; Artiodactyla; Camelidae
Also listed under: 2 other names
Rfam family: tRNA
About the family: Transfer RNA (tRNA) molecules are approximately 80 nucleotides in length. Their secondary structure includes four short double-helical elements and three loops (D, anti-codon, and T loops).
Source: Rfam by way of RNAcentral